UCUUACUUAUGCUGAGGCUGGUGCUAGGGUCAGAGGAAUGAACAAAUGGCACUAAGGCAGCUUUGCUGCUGAAACUCCUGCUCCCCACCCCCAGCCGUCCUGCCCCUAUGCUGAGCACAACUGGACUGGACCAGAAAUGUACAGCUACUGAUUGUUACUCCUUGGUUACAGUCACCAAGAUCUGGAAUUGGUUUCUGUCCUCUUCUGAAACUAGGUAAAUCCAGGACUGCUGGGAUCCACCUUUGGUCAGUUUCAAACAUGGAAUUGGGCUUGGACUGGAUAGAUCAUUUCAUAGAGUAUCAUACGUUUUGUUCUAUAUUCUGAACUUAAAUGAAAAUGGUCCUACUCGAUGUUCUUCGUGUCAGUGUCUCUACAUGCCUUUUUUGUAACUCUCUCAGUUUAAAUAAAAUAAAUUCUAAUAAUGAAAUGA
Malaclemys terrapin pileata is the source of this 430-nucleotide long non-coding RNA. RefSeq lists it as uncharacterized. The record is from RefSeq and is a predicted model, not a curated record. The transcript has 2 exons. Lineage: Eukaryota; Metazoa; Chordata; Testudines; Emydidae.